AUUGAACGCUGGCGGCAUGCCUUACACAUGCAAGUCGAACGGCAGCACGGAGCUUGCUCUGGUGGCGAGCGGCGAACGGGUGAGUAAUAUAUCGGAACGUACCCUAGAGUGGGGGAUAACGUAGCGAAAGUUACGCUAAUACCGCAUACGAUCUAAGGAUGAAAGUGGGGGAUCGCAAGACCUCAUGCUCGUGGAGCGGCCGAUAUCUGAUUAGCUAGUUGGUAGGGUAAAAGCCUACCAAGGCAUCGAUCAGUAGCUGGUCUGAGAGGACGACCAGCCACACUGGAACUGAGACACGGUCCAGACUCCUACGGGAGGCAGCAGUGGGGAAUUUUGGACAAUGGGCGAAAGCCUGAUCCAGCAAUGCCGCGUGAGUGAAGAAGGCCUUCGGGUUGUAAAGCUCUUUUGUCAGGGAAGAAACGGUGAGAGCUAAUAUCUCUUGCUAAUGACGGUACCUGAAGAAUAAGCACCGGCUAACUACGUGCCAGCAGCCGCGGUAAUACGUAGGGUGCAAGCGUUAAUCGGAAUUACUGGGCGUAAAGCGUGCGCAGGCGGUUUUGUAAGUCUGAUGUGAAAUCCCCGGGCUCAACCUGGGAAUUGCAUUGGAGACUGCAAGGCUAGAAUCUGGCAGAGGGGGGUAGAAUUCCACGUGUAGCAGUGAAAUGCGUAGAUAUGUGGAGGAACACCGAUGGCGAAGGCAGCCCCCUGGGUCAAGAUUGACGCUCAUGCACGAAGCGUGGGGAGCAAACAGGAUUAGAUACCCUGGUAGUCCACGCCCUAAACGAUGUCUACUAGUUGUCGGGUCUUAAUUGACUUGGUAACGCAGCUAACGCGUGAAGUAGACCGCCUGGGGAGUACGGUCGCAAGAUUAAAACUCAAAGGAAUUGACGGGGACCCGCACAAGCGGUGGAUGAUGUGGAUUAAUUCGAUGCAACGCGAAAAACCUUACCUACCCUUGACAUGGCUGGAAUCCUUGAGAGAUCAGGGAGUGCUCGAAAGAGAACCAGUACACAGGUGCUGCAUGGCUGUCGUCAGCUCGUGUCGUGAGAUGUUGGGUUAAGUCCCGCAACGAGCGCAACCCUUGUCACUAGUUGCUACGAAAGGGCACUCUAAUGAGACUGCCGGUGACAAACCGGAGGAAGGUGGGGAUGACGUCAAGUCCUCAUGGCCCUUAUGGGUAGGGCUUCACACGUCAUACAAUGGUACAUACAGAGCGCCGCCAACCCGCGAGGGGGAGCUAAUCGCAGAAAGUGUAUCGUAGUCCGGAUUGUAGUCUGCAACUCGACUGCAUGAAGUUGGAAUCGCUAGUAAUCGCGGAUCAGCAUGUCGCGGUGAAUACGUUCCCGGGUCU
Molecule: ribosomal RNA, 1351 nt
Filed under: uncultured bacterium
Lineage: Bacteria
Description: bacterial SSU rRNA
Rfam family: Bacterial small subunit ribosomal RNA
Source: RNAcentral